RNAcentral lists this ribosomal RNA (775 nucleotides) under uncultured Neocallimastigales. Its description in RNAcentral is "partial large subunit ribosomal RNA". It matches the Rfam family "Eukaryotic large subunit ribosomal RNA", at positions 18 to 616 of the family's 3401-position model. The record is from RNAcentral. Lineage: Eukaryota; Fungi; Neocallimastigomycota; Neocallimastigomycetes; Neocallimastigales.
UCAGACGAUGCGUCAUGCAUAUCAAUAAGCGGAGGAAAAGAAACUAACAAGGAUUCCCCUAGUAACGGCGAGUGAAGCGGGAAGAGCUCAAAUUUGAAAUCUUAAAGGGUUUCCCUUUACGAAUUGUAGUUUAAAGAAGUGUUUUCUGUUGAGGCUUUGGUAAAAGUUCUUUGGAAUAGGACAUCAUAGAGGGUGAGAAUCCCGUAUUUGACCUUUACUUUCAACUUUGUGAUACACUUUCAAAGAGUCGGAUUGUUUGGGAAUGCAGUCCAAAAUGGGUGGUAAAUUUCAUCUAAAGCUAAAUAUUGGCGAGAGACCGAUAGCGAACAAGUACCGUGAGGGAAAGAUGAAAAGAACUUUGAAAAGAGAGUUAAACAGUACGUGAAAUUGUCAAAAGGGAAGCGUUUGACACCAGUGUUGUUUUUCUGAAAAUCAAUUAAAGAACUGUUUAUGCUAAGUUGUUUAGACUUUAUCAGCUAACUGUUUAGUUUUGAGCUUUUCUUUAAUGCACUUUUCAGUUAACAAGUCAACAUCAAUUUCUUUUGCUGUAAAAAAGCUUGAGGAAGGUGGCUUGAGAUUCGUCUUAAGUGUUUAUAGCCUCUUGCCUAUGCAGUCGGAGAGAUUGAGGUCUGCAGCGUAGAUCCCUUCGGGGCUAAAUGCAUUUGUGCUAAGUUAUAGCAUUUUAUAGACAACUUGUUGACUAUGAUUUGUCUUGUAGCUUACUCGCUUAUGUUAUUUUACCUACGCUUAGGAUGUUGAGCGCAUGUCUCUCUCU